Molecule: ribosomal RNA, 292 nt
Filed under: uncultured bacterium
Lineage: Bacteria
Description: partial 16S ribosomal RNA
Rfam family: Bacterial small subunit ribosomal RNA
Source: RNAcentral
GUGCCAGCAGCCGCGGUAAGACGAGGGAUCCUAGCGUUGCUCGGAAUCAUUGGGCGUAAAGAGGGCGUAGGUGGCUUUGUAAGUCAGGUGUGAAAGCCCCGGGCUCAACCCGGGAAGUGCAUUUGAAACUGCGAAGCUUGAGUGUUGGAGAGGUCAUCGGAAUACCUGGUGUAGUGGUGAAAUACGUAGAUAUCAGGUGGAACACCGGAGGCGAAGGCGGGUGACUGGCCAAACACUGACACUGAGGCCCGAAAGCAUGGGGAUCAAACAGGAUUAGAUACCCUAGUAGUCC